Molecule: long non-coding RNA, 801 nt
Filed under: Elaeis guineensis (African oil palm)
Lineage: Eukaryota; Viridiplantae; Streptophyta; Magnoliopsida; Arecales; Arecaceae
Description: long non-coding RNA (EGUI_LNC053949)
Source: RNAcentral
UUCUUCUCCUUUUUUUCCGAAGUCUUUCAUCGCUAGAAGUCUUAUCUUCUUUCUUUUAAUAUUUGUAUUCCUUUUUAAAUUAGAGUUUGUCCUCUAAACAAAUCUUCAAGGCUUCUUUUUCUACUAUUUUGUUUAGCCUAUCUUAAUCUUUGAAAUACUUCGUCAAGAUAGCUGAAAUCUUGCCUUUUUUCAAAUGUUUGAGAAAGAUUUGCUUCUUGAUUUUUUCCAUAAUAAAGAAUUUUGUAAGUUGAUUUUUCUUUUCCUCAAGAUCUUUCAGAGAAACAAUCAUGUCAAUGAUGAAUUGUUCUUUGGUGGAUAUACCAAGAUUCCAUUAUCACUUGUUUAAUUUUUGCUAGAGCACUUACCACAGCAUGAGCAUAUCUUUAUUAUAUUUGAUUCAUCCUCUAUGUCUAAUUUUAGACUCCUAAUGACAUCCUCAAAUUUUCCUAUCAUCUCCUAUUUCUUGGAUUUUCUUUCUAAUAUUCCUUCGACACAAUUUAUUACCAUGAUAUCCUUUUUGUGUAUAUUUAAAGCUAGUUGGAGGUUUUGCCCUCUUCUUGCCUCUAUUUAAACUCUUCUUUUUUUAUUUGUUUAGGGUUUUUUACAAUCCUUUUUAUUUCAAUUUUUUUAGAUUUUUUGUAGUAAAGCUUAUCUAGUUGAAAUCCAAAUUGAUAACAAAAAAAAUUUCUUAAUUCAUUCCCAGCAUUUUUUUCUUCUUUAAUUGAUCUUUAACUUUUAGAUCAUUAUACGAUUUAACUCCAACUCUCUGUAUCUUUUGUACUAUUCUUUCCAUGUUGUUGC